UAGGGAAUAUUGGACAAUGGGCGCAAGCCUGAUCCAGCCAUGCCGCGUGGGUGAAGAAGGCCUUCGGGUUGUAAAGCCCUUUUGUCCGGAAAGAAAAGUUCCCGGUUAAUACCCGGGGAUCCUGACGGUACCGGAAGAAUAAGCACCGGCUAACUUCGUGCCAGCAGCCGCGGUAAUACGAAGGGUGCAAGCGUUACUCGGAAUUACUGGGCGUAAAGCGUGCGUAGGUGGUUGUUUAAGUCUGAUGUGAAAGCCCUGGGCUCAACCUGGGAAUGGCAUUGGAUACUGGGCAGCUCGAGUGCGGUAGAGGGGUGUGGAAUUCCCGGUGUAGCAGUGAAAUGCGUAGAGAUCGGGAGGAACAUCAGUGGCGAAGGCGACACCCUGGACCAGCACUGACACUGAGGCACGAAAGCGUGGGGAGCAAACAGG
RNAcentral lists this ribosomal RNA (429 nucleotides) under uncultured bacterium. Its description in RNAcentral is "bacterial SSU rRNA". It matches the Rfam family "Bacterial small subunit ribosomal RNA", at positions 355 to 776 of the family's 1533-position model. The record is from RNAcentral.